This 385-nucleotide ribosomal RNA is filed under the name Pristomerus vulnerator. RNAcentral describes it as "partial 16S ribosomal RNA". The record is from RNAcentral. Lineage: Eukaryota; Metazoa; Arthropoda; Insecta; Hymenoptera; Ichneumonidae.
AGUUUUUUGAUAAUAAUUUAAAAUAAUACCUGCUCAAUGAUUAAAUUAAAUAGCUGCAGAAAUUUAACUGUACAAAGGUAGCAUAAUAAAUAGUUUUUUAAUUGAAAACUUGAAUGAAUGGUUUUAUGAAAUAUAAACUUUUUUAAUUUAAAUAUUAAAAAUUUUUUAUCAUUAAAAAAAAUGAUAAAUUUUUAAAAGACGAGAAGACCCUAUAGAUUUUAAUAAAAUUUAAUUAAUAAAAAAUUUAUUUUAUUUAAAUUUAUUAAUAAAUUNUAUUUAACUGGGGAAGUUAUUAAAUUUAAUUAACUUUAAUUAUUUUAAAACAUUAAUUAANGAAUUUNUGAUCUUAAAUUUUAGAUUAAUAGAAUAAAAUNCCUUAGGGAUA